Long non-coding RNA from Macadamia integrifolia, 889 nucleotides. RefSeq lists it as uncharacterized. The record is from RefSeq and is a predicted model, not a curated record. NCBI's taxonomy places the organism in Eukaryota, Viridiplantae, Streptophyta, Magnoliopsida, Proteales, Proteaceae. The transcript is spliced from 2 exons.
GGGUGUGCUGCAUAUGUAAGUAGAGGUGUUUCCUCCUACUGUUUACCUUCAAUAGAAGGUGAUGCAUCUGGAUCACUUAUUCUAGGUGAGGAUUCUUCUAUUUACAAGAAUUCCACUCCCAUCUCUUACACUAAAAUGGUUCCAAAUCCACAGCUUUCAACCUUCUAUCUACUCAACCUUACUAAUAUUAACAUUGGUGGGGUAGCUUUACAAGCUCCAGGGUAGACAUAAAUGAAUCAAGUAAAACAACCUCUAGCUUCCAUCGAUCUCUGGUUCAUUCAUUUCUUAAAAUAAGUGAUUGAUACAGAGACCAAAGAAGGCACAAAGCAAUGUAGAUUGGAGGCUUGAAGAGGCUUGAAGGCUGGUUGUCUUCCAAACUACAAACCAGAAACGGCUCCAAAGCCUCAAAACUGCAUUACUGCUAAGCCUGCUGCCACCAUUGGCACAGAAAUUACAUAUCCCAGUAUUUAAAUUUUCUUAGCUAGUUCUUUCCUGUUGAAUAAUUUCUUUAUUUAUUUUUCUCUUUAAUUAUUAUCAUGCUUAAUACUAUUAGCCUAUGUACUGUAGGUAUCCGUACUUGUUACCCUGCCUUACCAUAUCAAUCUUCUCAGGCUGUGUAUUUAUUGUUUGCUUCUGGCUUCCAGAAACUUUGCAUAGGCAUCCGAAUGAAAUCACUUAAAAAAGAAAUUAUAAUUAAGCAGGAAUUAAUUCAAUUGUUAUUAGAGACUGCAAGCAGCUCCACUCAAUCAGGUGAGAAGAAAAGGCAUCUCGAGCAUCUUAUUCCUUAAACAAUCUGUACUUAUCUCACACAUUACAUCUUUGGCCCUUCUCUUUCAAAUUUCAAUCACUUUGUACAGUAGAGUAAAAAGCUCUUCGUUCUUGAGAAUCA